This 22-nucleotide microRNA is filed under the name Sphenodon punctatus (tuatara). Its description in RNAcentral is "Spt-Mir-208-P2_3p (mature (guide))". The record is from RNAcentral. Lineage: Eukaryota; Metazoa; Chordata; Lepidosauria; Sphenodontia; Sphenodontidae.
AUAAGACGAGCGAAAAGCUUUU